This 200-nucleotide ribosomal RNA is filed under the name uncultured eukaryote. Its description in RNAcentral is "partial 18S ribosomal RNA". It matches the Rfam family "Eukaryotic small subunit ribosomal RNA", at positions 588 to 789 of the family's 1831-position model. The record is from RNAcentral.
GCUCCAAUAGCGUAUACUAAAGUUGUUGCAGUUAAAAAGCUCGUAGUUGGAUUUCUGGUCGAGGCAGCCGGUCGGCACCAAGUGUGUUUGUACCAGGCGCCUCGUCCAUUUUUGUAGAAGCUGUGUCUGUCAUUCAGUUGUCGGGCAUAGGGUCUGCAUCAUUUACUGUGAGCAAAAUAGAGUGUUCAAAGCAGGCUUAG